RNAcentral lists this long non-coding RNA (274 nucleotides) under Elaeis guineensis (African oil palm). RNAcentral's name for it is "long non-coding RNA (EGUI_LNC023396)". The record is from RNAcentral. Lineage: Eukaryota; Viridiplantae; Streptophyta; Magnoliopsida; Arecales; Arecaceae.
CUCAUCCAGGAUGCACUCACAGAGAGGUUGGAUCAUGUAGAAGUUGUAGUCACUGGAAGAUCUCCGACCUUCCACUUGCAGUUGAGCAAGUCGGUGGUCGAUCUCUCUGAACUUACACUCAUAGUCGUCGAGCCACCACUGUUGAGAUAAUCCGAGAGUAAAGUCCCCCGAAGAAUUUGAGAAUGGAGAAGUAGAAGAUGUGCAUGAUCUUUUUCCCUUCUUGAUACUAUGUAUAUGGGAAAGAGAGGAAGAACACCGCGAAGGAUGGGUGGCA